Long non-coding RNA from Peromyscus eremicus (cactus mouse), 834 nucleotides. RefSeq lists it as uncharacterized. The transcript is spliced from 3 exons. NCBI's taxonomy places the organism in Eukaryota, Metazoa, Chordata, Mammalia, Rodentia, Cricetidae. The record is from RefSeq and is a predicted model, not a curated record.
GAGCAGAGCCUGAGCAACCACUGUAGAAUACUAAAGGCAAUGGUGACACUCUUCAUGGCAGCUGAUAUGUGAUGGUGUCAGAUGACUUAGAUUCCAGUGGCAACAGAAUGGUUCAGGAAUUUAUGCCAAAGAGGAAGCAGACAGACUGAAAGAACCGGUGGUGAUGGCCGACUCCGAGAAAACCACAUCAGAGCUCCAACAACCAAGGUGUUUCCAGCAAUUCGCAGCAGAAGAAAGAAAAACCAAACAGAUUCACCAUGCAGCAAUUCCACCUUAAGACACCGCCCCCACCUAGUACUUCUUGUAAAUCUAGGAAAUCAGAAAGUUGAAAAGUAUAACACAUUGUGUUGCUUGUAGCUUGUAUGCACAUCAUGCAAUUGCAAUAUAUUUAGACAUCCAGACGGCUUUAAAUGAAGAGAUCUAAGCUUCAAGGACACUGGAUGACUGCUAUAUCUGUAACUAACUGGUAAGUGUCAGAACUAGGUCAAAAAUGGUUUUAACCACCCACUUACUCCAUUCACUAAGUGCAGAGGCAAGGCCCACUAACUGUGUCUUAGGCACCACAUUCCACUGUCUCUCCGAACAAGGGCAGUAAAUACGAUUCAACUCUUGAGCUCUCUCGGGAUUAGCCACCUUAAAAAGUACUCUGAAGUAGAAAAGAGUCAAUGACCAUCAGCAAUGUGAAGCUUUGAACUAGGAGAGAGAAGUGGAAGAAGUCCUGAAGUCCUUAUUAUCCCUGAUUUAAAACAUCAAAUAUCCACAAGAGAAAGAAGGUGAAAUACAAAAAUUGAAAUCCUGAGCUAGAGCAUGCUACCUUUCACCUUAAGUCCCAAA